CGCCAGCCCGCUCCAGGCUGCCGGGCGGGCUCCGCGCCCUCCCCUCCUUCCCUUCCCCGCCACCGCCCUGUCAGGCCGGGGGCCGUCCCGCAGCGGAGCGCCGCGGGGCGGGGCGGGCUGACAGCGCGGCGGCCGGGGCGCGUUGCGGACGGUGGCGUUACUGGAGAGCGGCUGUCAGCGGGCGGGCAGCCAUGUGGCGCUGGAGGCUCCUUCCCUCGGUGGUGCUACUCGCCGUCCUGGUCCCUGUCAGAGGUGAUCUUGACGACUUCAACUUAGAAGAGGCACUUGGCACUACAAAGAAGCCUCUUCCAACUCGGAAACCACCAGCAUCAGAUCAUGAUGAUUUCAACUUGGAAGAUGCUU
Calidris pugnax (ruff) is the source of this 363-nucleotide long non-coding RNA. RefSeq lists it as uncharacterized. NCBI's taxonomy places the organism in Eukaryota, Metazoa, Chordata, Aves, Charadriiformes, Scolopacidae. The transcript has 4 exons. The record is from RefSeq and is a predicted model, not a curated record.